Molecule: long non-coding RNA, 1390 nt
Organism: Pseudophryne corroboree (corroboree frog)
Lineage: Eukaryota; Metazoa; Chordata; Amphibia; Anura; Myobatrachidae
Exons: 2
Source: RefSeq, a predicted model, not a curated record
UUUGCUUGUAUUUUUUUGACCUUUGUUUUCAUCUUAUUUUCAGAAAUAGACAUUCUGGACUGGAUUAAUUGACUUGUACCAGGCCAACGAGUGCCUGUGGAGAAUAAAAUGUAAGGAUUACUCCAACCGGCCAAAGAAGACUCUGGCAUUCCAACAACUUGUGCUGUACAGCAAAACACUAAACUCAUAUGCUGACAUAACAUGGGUGAAGAAGAAGAUCCAAAAUCUGCAUACUGUUUUCAUGAAAGAACACAAGAAAAGCAAGGAUUCUCAAUGUUCAGGAGCCGGGACAGAUGAUGUCUAUAAACCCACACUAUGGUAUUACGAGUUACGACCUGCUCCUCUUCACCCUGGAUCAUGAGCCCACGAAGCCAUCAGACUGCUCACUGGUACCUGCCUCGCUCGUGGCCGUUGCAGACGAGGCAUUGGGGAGUCAGGAUCUGCUCGUCUCGCGCGACGUGGAUCCUGACGCUCCCGCCAGUGAGCAUUUGGAACUGGGAGAGACUAUGCUAGAGACGUCGCCCCCUCAACCAGCCAGCAAGGGGAUGAGGCCAGUGAAGCGUCAGUAACCUUCCAGUUCCAUACCAGCACGUGCAGAACAGUUUUUGGAACACACGCAGCAGGUGCUUCAGAAGCCCCCGGACCAAUUAAUGAUUUUGGGAAUGCAGAUCGCCUCAAAGUUGCAGAGUGUAGAUCAAGACCAGCUUUGGAUGUUCAAACGCAUCAUGUAUGUGCAUUGACACGUGCUCAAGCCAAGCCAUUGACUGAGAGCAUGGUCCUUCCAUCAUUCACGAUGCAGCAGCCCCUACCCCCGCCCUCAAGUCACUCCCCGAUACUAGCGUCGAUACCGCCACCACCAAACCCUGCUGCGAUGCAACCACAUCCCAGUUUUUCUGCAGCGCGGCCCCCUAUGUCACCUGUCACCCAACCCAGUUCCUCGACUGCCUUUCACUCCACAUGGCUGAGUGCACAGUCGGCUCUGCAUGGCGAUGCUAGUAAUUAUUUUGAUAGCGAUUUUUAAAUAUGUGUUCCUAAAAAUGUUCUGCACUUUCGUGAGUUCUUGAUCCAGGAUGAUGGAAGUAUGGUUGAAGUACCAUAGUGGUAGUUUUGGACUUCAUCUGCUCCUGCUACCUGAUGUUGGGAUUUCUUGUUUUUCUUGUGUUCUUUUGAAAAGACUUUGAUUGAAAAUAUUUUUCUUGGCCCUAGUCAUGUUAGCAUCAAUGUUAUGUACUUUGCUGUAGCUGUGAAGUUGUUGGAGUGCCAGAAUUUGUUGGAGUAACCUUUGCUCUAAAGGCACUCGUUGGUAUACAAGCCAAUGAAUCCAGUCCAGAAUUCUUUGUUAAUUUUUUUUUAAAAACCUUUUGAAAAAAAUAAAAAAAUAAAAUAAAAA